AUGGACAAUAUGCUGUGAUGCCCUUAGAUGUCCUGGGCCGCACGCGCGCUACACUGACAGAGCCAACGAGUUCAUCACCUUGACC
RNAcentral lists this ribosomal RNA (85 nucleotides) under Massaria sp. Its description in RNAcentral is "partial small subunit ribosomal RNA". The record is from RNAcentral. Lineage: Eukaryota; Fungi; Ascomycota; Dothideomycetes; Pleosporales; Massariaceae.